AGUCCCAGCACCAGGCCAGCCAGAGUCCCCCUGAGUCCACCCCGGGGAGCCCCACGAUCCCGUUAGGAAACAACGGAGGAUGGGGCUGGGAGCCCCAAGCCGGGCUCCGAAUGCUUGGCCCGGCGCUCCUCUAGCCUGGCUGGCCUGCCAGCUCUUCCCAGGACCCUGCCUGAGAGUCACCCACCUGCCCGGCCUUUCGGGGCUCAUCUAAAAGGCUCCUCCGCCAAGACUAGGGGACACCAGGAAUUGGGUUUGUUUGCGGUGCCUCUGAAGGGGCAAGAUGGCGACAGGUAACAGGGCGCAGGCGCAGCCGCGCGCGGCCAGUCGGGAGGUGUAGUUCGCUUUUCCCGCCUUCUCCCAGCCAAUCGGCUGCGCUCUCUGCUACGUGUGGCGUCACACGUAGCGGCCAAGAUGGC
This 416-nucleotide long non-coding RNA is filed under the name Homo sapiens (human). Its description in RNAcentral is "HSALNT0178483". The record is from RNAcentral. Lineage: Eukaryota; Metazoa; Chordata; Mammalia; Primates; Hominidae.